ACAGCAGCAGCCACGGUAAUACAGAGGAUGCAAGCGUUAUCCGGAAUGAUUGGGCGUAAAGCGUCUGUAGGUGGCUUUUCAAGUCCGCCGUCAAAUCCCAGGGCUCAACCCUGGACAGGCGGUGGAAACUACCAAGCUGGAGUACGGUAGGGGCAGAGGGAAUUUCUGGUGGAGCGGUGAAAUGCGUUGAGAUCGGAAAGAACACCAACGGUGAAAGCACUCUGCUGGGCCGACACUGACACUGAGAGACGAAAGCUAGGGGAGCAAAUGGGAUUAGAUACCCCAGUAGUCCCUGUCUCUUAUAC
This 305-nucleotide ribosomal RNA is filed under the name uncultured bacterium. Its description in RNAcentral is "partial 16S ribosomal RNA". It matches the Rfam family "Bacterial small subunit ribosomal RNA", at positions 506 to 807 of the family's 1533-position model. The record is from RNAcentral.